UACACCCCACUCUCAUUCUCUCUCUAGCCCUAGAAGCCCCCACCUCUCUCUCUCUCUUUCUCUCUUUCUCUCUGUGACCCACUACGUCGCCGUCGGCAACGCCGACGACGCCCUUAACCCACCGAGAACACCCACCACCCCUCUUGCUCUCUCUAACAUCUCUCUCUUCCUCUCACUCUCACUAUGCCGCCGCCGCCGAUGCCGCCCUCUGUCGCCCAAGGUUACACCCCACCCUCAUUCUCUCUCUAGCCCUAGAAGCCUUCACCUCUCUCUCUCUCUUUCUUUCUCUCUCUUUCUCUCUGUGACCCACCCCGUCGCCGGGCAUCGCCCUUACC
This 335-nucleotide long non-coding RNA is filed under the name Ananas comosus (pineapple). Its description in RNAcentral is "long non-coding RNA (ACOM_LNC018301)". The record is from RNAcentral. Lineage: Eukaryota; Viridiplantae; Streptophyta; Magnoliopsida; Poales; Bromeliaceae.